GAGUUUGAUCCUGGCUCAGAUUGAACGCUGGCGGCAUGCCUUACACAUGCAAGUCGAACGGCAGCACGGGGGCAACCCUGGUGGCGAGUGGCGAACGGGUGAGUAAUACAUCGGAACGUGUCCUGUAGUGGGGGAUAGCCCGGCGAAAGCCGGAUUAAUACCGCAUACGAUCUACGGAAGAAAGCGGGGGACCGAAAGGCCUCGCGCUAUAGGGGCGGCCGAUGGCAGAUUAGCUAGUUGGUGGGGUAAAGGCCUACCAAGGCGACGAUCUGUAGCUGGUCUGAGAGGACGACCAGCCACACUGGGACUGAGACACGGCCCAGACUCCUACGGGAGGCAGCAGUGGGGAAUUUUGGACAAUGGGGGCAACCCUGAUCCAGCAAUGCCGCGUGUGCGAAGAAGGCCUUCGGGUUGUAAAGCACUUUUGUCCGGAAAGAAAACUUCUGGGUUAAUACCCUGGGAGGCUGACGGUACCGGAAGAAUAAGCACCGGCUAACUACGUGCCAGCAGCCGCGGUAAUACGUAGGGUGCGAGCGUUAAUCGGAAUUACUGGGCGUAAAGCGUGCGCAGGCGGUUUGUUAAGACAGAUGUGAAAUCCCCGGGCUUAACCUGGGAACUGCAUUUGUGACUGGCAAGCUAGAGUAUGGCAGAGGGGGGUAGAAUUCCACGUGUAGCAGUGAAAUGCGUAGAGAUGUGGAGGAAUACCGAUGGCGAAGGCAGCCCCCUGGGCCAAUACUGACGCUCAUGCACGAAAGCGUGGGGAGCAAACAGGAUUAGAUACCCUGGUAGUCCACGCCCUAAACGAUGUCAACUAGUUGUUGGGGAUUCAUUUCCUUAGUAACGUAGCUAACGCGUGAAGUUGACCGCCUGGGGAGUACGGUCGCAAGAUUAAAACUCAAAGGAAUUGACGGGGACCCGCACAAGCGGUGGAUGAUGUGGAUUAAUUCGAUGCAACGCGAAAAACCUUACCUACCCUUGACAUGGACGGAACCCUGCUGAAAGGUGGGGGUGCUCGAAAGAGAACCGUCGCACAGGUGCUGCAUGGCUGUCGUCAGCUCGUGUCGUGAGAUGUUGGGUUAAGUCCCGCAACGAGCGCAACCCUUGUCCUUAGUUGCUACGCAAGAGCACUCUAAGGAGACUGCCGGUGACAAACCGGAGGAAGGUGGGGAUGACGUCAAGUCCUCAUGGCCCUUAUGGGUAGGGCUACACACGUGCUACAUUGGCGCAUACAAAGGGCAGCAAUACCGUGAGGUGGAGCAAAUCCCAUAAAGUGCGCCUCGGUUCAGAUUGUCGUCUGCAACUCGACGGCAUGAAGCUGGAAUCGCUAGUAAUGGCGCAUCAGCUACGGCGCCGUGAAUACGUUCCCAGGCCUUGCACACAC
Molecule: ribosomal RNA, 1381 nt
Filed under: uncultured Burkholderiaceae bacterium
Lineage: Bacteria; Pseudomonadati; Pseudomonadota; Betaproteobacteria; Burkholderiales; Burkholderiaceae
Description: bacterial SSU rRNA
Rfam family: Bacterial small subunit ribosomal RNA
Source: RNAcentral